CCAGGAACAGGCUUGGCGAUCCCUGAUACCCUAUAGGAGAGCUCAUCAUAGGACAAAUAGGCUUUGUUGUCCAAAUGGUGAUGCUGGUUGUCUGUUGGAGAAAAAUCACUUGGCAGCGUCUUACCCAAGAGGACAUUCUGCAGAUUGUAAUACAGUUUCUGUAGGAUCCCAGGCAACACCUCAGACACAAGUCCAAAGUAUCAAUGAGUGAGAGAUAAGUAACUUACAUUGUUUAUUUCAAUUAUAAAUAACUAUUUAAGAUGUAAUUUUCAAUUUGUACUGGCCAGUACACUACUUCACAUAAAGGAUUCCUCUCACUCCGGCUCCCUGUAUGGAUUCGAGGGUGGAGCGGCCUCCUGCUUCGACACUCUGUACUGAUUCGGGGGUGGAGCUUCCACCCUCCAUCCCUUUGCCUCAUCCUGCUCCUGGGGCGGAGACUCCACCUGUCCCGGCACCAUGACCUGCUCUGGGGGCAGAGCCCCACCUGUCCCGGCACCAUGACCUGCUCUGGGGGCAGAAACCCACCUGUCCUGGCACCAUGACCUGCUCUGGGGGCAGAGCCCCACCUGUCCCAGCACCAUGACCUGCUCUGGGGGCAGAGCCCCACCUGUCCCGGCACCAUGUCUUGCUCUGGGGGCAGAGCCCCACUUGUCCCGCAUCCCUUACGGCUCCAGAGGUGGAGUCUCCACCCAUCCCAGCGUCCAUUCCAAUCUGUCAGAAACCACUCUGUUUGUAUAAUUCACCUCAUGUUACCAACGAUGCCUCUUCAUCUUCACUCAUGUCCUGAUUCUGAAAGGCCAAGUUAGUCACAUAUAACCAAACAUGUGUAAUAAAGUACUCAACAUGCUUUGUUACAGAUUCUCCAUGUCAUUUGAUAUACUGUUGAUGAGGUGAAGUAGGAGGCACGAGUUACAAGGUCUGUUGUAAAGCUGUUGAUCCCUAUUUGUCUAGGUAGACUAUUCAGUUUGGAUGAGACGGGGCCAAACAUUGUGUUUGUUACUGUGUGGUAAAAAAGGUACAUGACUGUUCCUCUAUCCAGGCCCAAAUUUACAAAGCCUGGCUUUGCCCUCCAAGAUAGAAUUUUUACUAACCUAGGUAUUGUAAAUCCAUAAUGCAGACAACUCAAUUGGUCAGAUGGGUCUGGGAACAAGCUUUCUCUGUUUACAUAAUUUUCUACCAAUAAAUAAGCUGAUUGAUACAUGACGUGAUAUAGCCUGUAUAAUUUUGCAUGCCAAAAACAUGUAUGUGUCAACUGUGUGCAUGUGCUGUAAAUCCAGUGGCAAACAAAGAAAUCAGAGGAAAUAAAACUGUAGAGUAUAAAGCUUUGUAAAGGAUCCAGUGUGGUUUUAUCUGUAUUUUUGUUAGUGGCAUGUUCCCCCUAACUUCUUACCACUACUUUUCCUCUUAUGUUGGACUCCAUCUUGGGCAUAGCCUCCAGGUCUUCCUCAACAACGACCAUCCCAUCUCUCUGUGAAAUCACCCCCCUCUGGAUAUGUUUUUUUUCAAUUCACCACUAUUCACUCGCAACAGUAACCUAAUUCAACAAAUGUAUUAACAAGCUACAUAAAUCCAAAUCAUAAUGCAGAAAAAAAGGCCAUCCCUAACAGUGUUGAUCAGUCACUUAGGCCUUCUAUUUCUUCAGCGAAAGCCUAUGUCUUGAUACAGAUAUAGAUGUCUUUAUAUAUUAUAAUUUAAUUACUUUGUAUUGAUAAAAGCUUUGUAUUGAUAAAAGUCUCUGCAUGGCAAAAUCUAACUUGACAUUGCAAAUGAUCAUCAUCUGGUGUCAUGGUUGUUUUUCGGCAUCUUUCUUGCUA
This is a long non-coding RNA of Esox lucius (northern pike), 1814 nucleotides long. The record is from Ensembl. Lineage: Eukaryota; Metazoa; Chordata; Actinopteri; Esociformes; Esocidae.